This 253-nucleotide ribosomal RNA is filed under the name uncultured bacterium. Its description in RNAcentral is "partial 16S ribosomal RNA". It matches the Rfam family "Bacterial small subunit ribosomal RNA", at positions 524 to 776 of the family's 1533-position model. The record is from RNAcentral.
GACGUAGGGCGCGAGCGUUGUCCGGAUUUAUUGGGCGUAAAGCGCACGUAGGCGGCUUUGUAAGUCAGAGGUGAAAGCCCGGAGCUCAACUCCGGAACUGCCUUUUAGACUGCAUCGCUUGAAUCCAGGAGAGGUGAGUGGAAUUCCGAGUGUAGAGGUGAAAUUCGUAGAUAUUCGGAAGAACACCAGUGGCGAAGGCGGCUCACUGGACUGGUAUUGACGCUGAGGUGCGAAAGCGUGGGGAGCAAACAGG